CAGUAGCCACGGGAAAACCAGCAGCCCAAGUGGUGGUCGCGUUUAUUGGGCCUAAAGCGCUCGUAGCCUGACCGGUAAGUUCCCCGUGAAAUCGGGUCGCCCAACGAUUCGGCUUGCGGGGAAUACUGUCGGUCUUGGGGCCGGGAGACGCCGAGGGUACUCCGGGGGUAGCGGUGAAAUGCUGUAAUCCUCGGGGGACUACCAGUGGCGAAGGCGCUCGGCGAUAACGGGCCUGACGGUGAGGGGCGAAAGCUGGGGGCGCGAACGGGAUUAGAUACCCCAGUAGUCCCUGUCUCUUAUA
Molecule: ribosomal RNA, 301 nt
Filed under: uncultured bacterium
Lineage: Bacteria
Description: partial 16S ribosomal RNA
Rfam family: Archaeal small subunit ribosomal RNA
Source: RNAcentral